ACUGCUCGCAUCCACCGUUCGUUCAAAAACCCACGGAGAGGACCGAAGGGGGAGAGGGGGGUGAGCCUCAAAUCUCGCCGCCGCCUCGUUUCGCGACCCCUCUCUUCCCCGAACAAGAAACCCUAGCGCCGCCGCUCGCCGGCGAUGGAGGCGCCGGACGAGGAGGCCGGACUGGGGCUCCCGGAGGACGAGCGGCUUCUGGAGGUCACCAUCAUCUCCGCGCAGGGGCUGAAGCCGCCUUCUGGACUUCGGCGGCGGUUGCAGGCGUACGCCGUGGCGUGGGUUGACACGGCGCACAGGCUCCAGACGCAACCCGACCGCUCUGGCGGCCUCGAUCCGGCUUGGCACGAGCGGUUCCUCUUCCGCGUGCACGAAGCCGCGCUCGCCGAGGAUUCCCGCGCUGCCGUCACCGUCGAGAUCUACGCCUCACCGAACGGGGCCUGGCACAUCGGCGGGGACUCCCUGAUCGGAUCAGCGCGGUUCCUCCUCGGCGACAACUGCCUCCUGUCUCGCCCCGUUGGGUCCCCAGCCAUGUUCGCGGUCGGCGUCCGACGCCCCUCCGGCCGCGUCCACGGACUCCUCAAUGUGGCCGCUAGCCUGGUCGCUGCGCCGCCCUCUCCGGCGGCCUCCCACGCCCUCAGCCUCUCCCCCGCCGUCUCUCUCAGUGGCCUACCCCCUGCCGUUGCCAUCAGCAGCCUCUCCACGGCGCCCAUCUCAGGCCGCGUGCUGCGCGUCCUCAACCGCGCGCACCCAACACCCCCACCUUCUCCUAAGGUGCUCACGCCCAAGAAGCUGCAGACCUCGGUGAAGCCUAACAAUAAGGGAUCAGACAACCAGCAGGUUGCGGUGAAGCCAAAUAACAAACGCGAAGACGAUGCCAGCGAUCAGGAGGGGGAGGAUGAGAACACGUACAUGGGCGGGGUGAUGUUUUGCGGGCCUUGUGUCUUACCAUUCCCGAGGAAGAUUCACACCAGUCCCUCUGACGAGAACCUGCAGGCCUUCGCUGGCAUCUUCUCUAGCGGUGUCGGCAUUGCCAGACGGAGCCCGAGCCCUCGGCACUGAGCUUAUGCAAAACAGGUGUGCUAAGGGCCUACAAUACUAACAAUUGAAUAUGAAGAGCAACCAUCAAAUAUGCCUCUUUCUACUGUAUGCCUAAUGGUGGAAGAAUGACUCCCAUUUUCAUUAGCUUUUCAAGUGCAAUUUGGAGAAGAAUACGAGGAGCUGGUGAGCAUCAAGCACCUCACAAACAGUUCCAAUAUUCCAUUCUGCACUUGGCAUGUCGAUGUCGAGCUGGAUCCUUUACUUUAGCAGUUUAGCUGCUCAUUUGCAAAGAUCACAUUUGGGGACUAGUUAUCGUCUCCUGGUUCUUCUGUCCUUGAUGCUUUUGCAUAUACGGUAUAUAUGUACGUAGAUCCCAUGGGACGUAGUAAGAUAUAUCUGGUUGCUUUGGGCA
This is an RNA transcript of Hordeum vulgare subsp. vulgare (domesticated barley), 1453 nucleotides long. RefSeq lists it as uncharacterized. Lineage: Eukaryota; Viridiplantae; Streptophyta; Magnoliopsida; Poales; Poaceae. The record is from RefSeq and is a predicted model, not a curated record. The transcript is spliced from 3 exons.